Molecule: long non-coding RNA, 1236 nt
Organism: Helianthus annuus (common sunflower)
Lineage: Eukaryota; Viridiplantae; Streptophyta; Magnoliopsida; Asterales; Asteraceae
Exons: 3
Source: RefSeq, a predicted model, not a curated record
GAUCCCGCCCAAUUCCCCCAAUAUUCAUAUGUUCCCUCCAAGUGCCAUUCACUUUCCCCAAUCUCCAUCUUCUCAGAAAUCCCGCCCUUUCCAUCCAUUCCCUGAAGACGUGGAGUCGAGCUACCCUUCACUUCGGUCUCUUUCAUCUCCAUCGAUGAUGACCGAUCCACUCUCCAAGUCGCCGCUAACGUUCUCCUCACCGGCGCCAUAUCCACCUUCCUCCUCCGCUUCUCCCGUCGCCGAGGAAAGUGCCAAAGAACUGGAAACUUCAAAUCACACCCUAAUUUCGUCUCCACUGAAACUGCUAUUGAGAAGAAGGUUGUGAUCAUCAAAAUUGGCAUUAGAGGGAGGUAGUUGUUGUUAAUUGUUACUUUUUGGUUGUUUGGUUGUGAAAAACUUUGUAUUAUUACUGUGAUUUUGCAGAUGCUAUGUACAAUAUGCUCAAGUUUGAAAUGGUAAAGUUGAUGGAAUUUUUCUGUCUUUCUCCCUCAUUAAAUUCGUCAUCCAUUUUAUUUUCUUUUGAUUUGUACAAAGAAAGACUUUCAGUCAUUGUAGGGCCUUUGUGUUACUUUCCAUAUUUUGUAGUAAAUAAGCUCUCACUUCUGUUUGUAGGUAAUUCUGAUGUAUGAACUUGCUUUUCACAUUAAUUUCCAUUGUGCAUUUGUGUGUAACAAUCUUGGAGUUAUUUAUAAAGACCGAACAACCUUGAUAAAGAUGUGGAGUCUCAUCAGGUAUUUCAUCUCAGCAUUGCAGGUAUUGGUGUUUAAUGAUUAAUAUUGUAGAGUUUUUUUUUUCUGAUAGAUUUUUGUUCUUUUGGUGUUGGCUUCGUCAAAUAAUCCAAGUGUCUCACAAUUGUUGAACAACGUUGGAGUCCUCUACACAGUGCAAGUAUAAUUUAAUCAAUCAACAUCUAAUAGAACAAUAUCGUUCAACUAUCGCUUUCAGAAUUGUAGAUUAAUAUAUAGGGCAAAAUGGAUGUUGCUGCUAGCAUGAUAAAGAUAGAGAUUGUGGUGAAUCCUACUUAUGCAGAAGCCUAAAAUAACUUAGGCAAUUUCUACGGUUCCGAUUGCACGUAUGAAUUGAAGACGUCAAGACAUUGGUUCAUGAAGUUAUUGUAUAUCACUUUCAUAUGUAGAGAUAUAUGUAUUUGUGUUAUUGAAACUUUUGUAAUUUUAUUUUACUUUAAAUCCUUUGUAAUUUACAUUCUUGGGUUAUUUUAUAUUGGUUUUAGUUUAA